GGGGAGCUGGCCGAGUCUGGUUUAAGGCAGUGGAUUGCUAAUCCGCCGUAGGGGCCAUCGGGCUUCUGCCGAGAGUUCGAAUCUCUCGCUCUCCGC
RNAcentral lists this transfer RNA (96 nucleotides) under Winogradskya humida. RNAcentral describes it as "Actinoplanes humidus tRNA-Ser". It matches the Rfam family "tRNA". From Rfam's summary of the family: Transfer RNA (tRNA) molecules are approximately 80 nucleotides in length. Lineage: Bacteria; Bacillati; Actinomycetota; Actinomycetes; Micromonosporales; Micromonosporaceae. The record is from RNAcentral.